Molecule: long non-coding RNA, 640 nt
Organism: Homarus americanus (American lobster)
Lineage: Eukaryota; Metazoa; Arthropoda; Malacostraca; Decapoda; Nephropidae
Exons: 3
Source: RefSeq, a predicted model, not a curated record
AUUAGACAACACAUUAUGCUGCCAAUAUCUUCCCAGGUGGUAGUACCUCCAUGUUUGGUAGCUGCCUACUACCCAUGGUUCUGGGUUCCCAAUAAAUUUAUUUAUGAACAUGAUCUAGGAAUGUAACUUGGAAUACUGUACUGUACUGUAUGUCUUUCCAUAGUGUUUGCUGUUUUUAUUAUUAUCAUCUUGUAUUCCACCUGCAUCCCCGCAGAAGAUGAAGUAUUUUCAUCAUCCAAGAGGUUGUCCACUUGUAACACAGGAAGCAACAUCAAUAAUCAAAGCCCUCUUGAAACACCCCCAAGGAGGGGCAGAGCUGCAUCUCGGCUCGCUCACGAGAAAAUGAAAAGGGUACCUAUGACAACAAAAAAGACAAGAGGAACAUGUCAGGUUAUUUUCAAGGGAGACUCCUUUGAAAGCAGCUCCAGUUAUAAAGAAGAAGUAAAAGGAGCAGACUCUGGUCAUGGGGAAAAUUGUGAGUCUCAUUUUGAAGAGAUGGAAUAUGAAUCAACUGUUGAUCCUUGUGAAUCAGCUGUUAAUCCUUUAGCACUAGACACACCAAGUAAGAAGAAUGAUGGUGUAAAAUGUCUAAGUGUUAAAGUCAGUCUUGAAAGAUUAUCUCAUUUACACACAUCUCAAG